GGGGUUGUGGCUCAGUGGCAGAGUGCUUGCUUCGCAUGCAUGAGGCCCUGGGUUCAAUCCCUAGCACCACA
This 71-nucleotide transfer RNA is filed under the name Marmota monax (woodchuck). RNAcentral's name for it is "tRNA.Ala". It matches the Rfam family "tRNA". From Rfam's summary of the family: Transfer RNA (tRNA) molecules are approximately 80 nucleotides in length. Their secondary structure includes four short double-helical elements and three loops (D, anti-codon, and T loops). The record is from RNAcentral. Lineage: Eukaryota; Metazoa; Chordata; Mammalia; Rodentia; Sciuridae.